RNAcentral lists this unclassified non-coding RNA (150 nucleotides) under Oryza sativa (Asian cultivated rice). RNAcentral describes it as "partial microRNA MIR468n-36-as precursor". The record is from RNAcentral. Lineage: Eukaryota; Viridiplantae; Streptophyta; Magnoliopsida; Poales; Poaceae.
CUAUACUCUCCCGUCCCAUGAAAAACGAAUCUAGGACCGUAUGUGACAUAUUCUAGUACUAUGAAUCUGAACAUAUGUAUGUCUAGAUUCGUAGUAUUAAAAUGUGUCACAUCCGGUACUAGGUUAUUUUUUUAUGGGACGGAGGGAGUA